AAGGUCCGUUUAUGAGAUAUGUCAACACAGCCAGAUGCAGUAGUUCUUUUCGUCACAACUGCUUCCAGCUGUGCUGACAUAUCUCAUAAAAGAGGGCCUCAU
RNAcentral lists this microRNA precursor (102 nucleotides) under Haemonchus contortus (barber pole worm). RNAcentral's name for it is "microRNA hco-mir-5924 precursor (hco-mir-5924-1)". The record is from miRBase by way of RNAcentral. Lineage: Eukaryota; Metazoa; Nematoda; Chromadorea; Rhabditida; Trichostrongylidae.